Molecule: ribosomal RNA, 1246 nt
Filed under: Burkholderia multivorans
Lineage: Bacteria; Pseudomonadati; Pseudomonadota; Betaproteobacteria; Burkholderiales; Burkholderiaceae
Description: partial 23S ribosomal RNA
Rfam family: Bacterial large subunit ribosomal RNA
Source: RNAcentral
CUGAAUACAUAGGUCAUGUGAAGCGAACGCGGUGAACUGAAACAUCUAAGUAACCGCAGGAAAAGAAAUCAACCGAGAUUCCCAAAGUAGUGGCGAGCGAAAUGGGAUGAGCCUUGUACUCUUUAUUUGUAUUGUUAGCCGAACGCUCUGGAAAGUGCGGCCAUAGCAGGUGAUAGCCCUGUAGGCGAAAACAGUAUGAAAGAACUAGGUGUACGACAAGUAGGGCGGGACACGUGAAAUCCUGUCUGAAGAUGGGGGGACCAUCCUCCAAGGCUAAAUACUCGUGAUCGACCGAUAGUGAACCAGUACCGUGAGGGAAAGGCGAAAAGAACCCCGGGAGGGGAGUGAAAUAGAUCCUGAAACCGCAUGCAUACAAACAGUCGGAGCCUCUUUAUGGGGUGACGGCGUACCUUUUGUAUAAUGGGUCAGCGACUUACGUUCAGUAGCAAGCUUAACCGUAUAGGGCAGGCGUAGCGAAAGCGAGUCCGAAUAGGGCGUUCAGUUGCUGGGCGUAGACCCGAAACCAGGUGAUCUAUCCAUGGCCAGGAUGAAGGUGCGGUAACACGUACUGGAGGUCCGAACCCACUAACGUUGAAAAGUUAGGGGAUGAGCUGUGGAUAGGGGUGAAAGGCUAAACAAACCUGGAAAUAGCUGGUUCUCUCCGAAAACUAUUUAGGUAGUGCCUCGUGUCUCACCUUCGGGGGUAGAGCACUGUCAUGGUUGGGGGGUCUAUUGCAGAUUACCCCGCCAUAGCAAACUCCGAAUACCGAAGAGUGCAAUCACGGGAGACAGACAUCGGGUGCUAACGUCCGGUGUCAAGAGGGAAACAACCCAGACCGCCAGCUAAGGUCCCCAAAUAUGGCUAAGUGGGAAACGAAGUGGGAAGGCUAAAACAGUCAGGAGGUUGGCUUAGAAGCAGCCACCCUUUAAAGAAAGCGUAAUAGCUCACUGAUCGAGUCGUCCUGCGCGGAAGAUGUAACGGGGCUAAGCCAUAUACCGAAGCUGCGGAUGCGAGCUUGCUCGCAUGGUAGGAGAGCGUUCCGUAAGCCUGCGAAGGUGCCUUGUAAAGGGUGCUGGAGGUAUCGGAAGUGCGAAUGCUGACAUGAGUAGCGAUAAAGGGGGUGAAAGGCCCCCUCGCCGUAAGCCCAAGGUUUCCUACGCAACGUUCAUCGGCGUAGGGUGAGUCGGCCCCUAAGGCGAGGCAGAAAUGCGUAGCUGAUGGGAAGCAGGUCAAUAUUCCUGCACC